RNAcentral lists this transfer RNA (72 nucleotides) under Pyrenophora tritici-repentis Pt-1C-BFP. RNAcentral describes it as "tRNA-Lys (TTT) (tRNA-Lys-TTT-5-1)". It matches the Rfam family "tRNA". From Rfam's summary of the family: Transfer RNA (tRNA) molecules are approximately 80 nucleotides in length. Their secondary structure includes four short double-helical elements and three loops (D, anti-codon, and T loops). The record is from RNAcentral. Lineage: Eukaryota; Fungi; Ascomycota; Dothideomycetes; Pleosporales; Pleosporaceae.
AACUUCCUGGCGCAAUGGUAGCGCAUCACGCUUUUUACGUGAAGGCUAUGAGUUCGAAUCUCAUGGGAGUUA